GGAGGAGUGGCUCAGUGGUUAAGAGCACUGCUCUUGCAGAGGACCUGGGUUCGAUUCCUAGCACCUACA
RNAcentral lists this transfer RNA (69 nucleotides) under Rattus norvegicus (Norway rat). It matches the Rfam family "tRNA". From Rfam's summary of the family: Transfer RNA (tRNA) molecules are approximately 80 nucleotides in length. Their secondary structure includes four short double-helical elements and three loops (D, anti-codon, and T loops). Lineage: Eukaryota; Metazoa; Chordata; Mammalia; Rodentia; Muridae. The record is from Rfam by way of RNAcentral.